GAUGAACGCUGGCGGCGUGCCUAAUACAUGCAAGUCGAGCGAACAGACGAGGAGCUUGCUCCUCUGACGUUAGCGGCGGACGGGUGAGUAACACGUGGAUAACCUACCUAUAAGACUGGGAUAACUUCGGGAAACCGGAGCUAAUACCGGAUAAUAUAUUGAACCGCAUGGUUCAAUAGUGAAAGACGGUUUUGCUGUCACUUAUAGAUGGAUCCGCGCCGCAUUAGCUAGUUGGUAAGGUAACGGCUUACCAAGGCGACGAUGCGUAGCCGACCUGAGAGGGUGAUCGGCCACACUGGAACUGAGACACGGUCCAGACUCCUACGGGAGGCAGCAGUAGGGAAUCUUCCGCAAUGGGCGAAAGCCUGACGGAGCAACACCGCGUGAGUGAUGAAGGUCUUCGGAUCGUAAAACUCUGUUAUUAGGGAAGAACAAAUGUGUAAGUAACUAUGCACGUCUUGACGGUACCUAAUCAGAAAGCCACGGCUAACUACGUG
RNAcentral lists this ribosomal RNA (497 nucleotides) under uncultured bacterium. RNAcentral's name for it is "partial 16S ribosomal RNA". It matches the Rfam family "Bacterial small subunit ribosomal RNA", at positions 28 to 507 of the family's 1533-position model. The record is from RNAcentral.